Molecule: ribosomal RNA, 834 nt
Filed under: Triticum aestivum (bread wheat)
Lineage: Eukaryota; Viridiplantae; Streptophyta; Magnoliopsida; Poales; Poaceae
Description: partial small subunit ribosomal RNA
Source: RNAcentral
AUGGAUUCUGGGCGGCAUGACCCAGAGGUCGCGUUGGGGAGCAGUACUGAGGAUCCAUCGUUACAGGUUGAGGCAACGUCAAUUUCAGAAGUCGAUUGGGAUAACUUGCAAAUAGUGGAGACACAUGAUGAAGAAGGUAGAAUUGAACUACUGAGUGAGGAUCAGUUAUGUGAAAUUUUGGGCUUGCAGGAUGAAGAAGAGAAAAAAGGUAAGAGUGAACCAAAGGGUCGUAAAAUGGUUGAGCAGGGCAGUGACAAUGAUGGUGCUGCCAUUCCUGUUAGUGAUGUCAUACCAAAUGAGGUAGUGAUUACAUAUGAUAAGGACCACCCAAAAAUGGACCUUGGCACAAUGUACCCAUCAAUGAAGGAAUUUAGGUUAGCAGUGAGGCAAUUUUUCAUCAAUGAGGAGUUUGAUAUAGGCACAGAGAAGUCGGAUAAAAAGAGAUUUAGAGGGUUCUGCAAGUCAAGUGAGGAUUGUCCUUGGAGGAUUGUUGGCAGCCUACAGGAUGAUAAAUGUACUGUAAAGGUCACAGUUUUAGUUGAUCAACAUGAUUGUGUUUCAAGCAGCAGAGUGAAGACCAUAACGCCAUCGCAAGACUGGGUAGCUAACAAGGCUGUGAGUAUCCUUAGGAGUUCACCUAAUAUGGGUGCUAAAGAAUUACAGAAAAAGUUGCAAGAACAAUCCAAAGUCACGAUUCUAUAUGACACGGUCUGGAGGGGGAAAGAAAAAGCUCUUGCAGAGGUUUAUGGUAAAUGGGAAGAGAGUUUUGAGAUGUUAUAUAAAUGGAAGGCUGAGGUACCUGAAGAGGUCACCUGGAAGUGUUGUGGAGAUUGA